This 1091-nucleotide ribosomal RNA is filed under the name Macrorrhyncha flava. RNAcentral describes it as "bacterial SSU rRNA". It matches the Rfam family "Eukaryotic small subunit ribosomal RNA", at positions 36 to 1009 of the family's 1831-position model. RNAcentral also lists the same sequence under 1 other name. Lineage: Eukaryota; Metazoa; Arthropoda; Insecta; Diptera; Keroplatidae. The record is from RNAcentral.
CUCAAAGAUUAAGCCAUGCAUGUCUAAGUACAAGCGAAAAUAAAGUGAAACCGCAAAAGGCUCAUUAUAUCAGUUAUGGUUCCUUAGAUCGUAUCCACAAUUACUUGGAUAACUGUGGUAAUUCUAGAGCUAAUACAUGCAAUUAAAGAGAAACCAGUAAAAUGGGAUCUCUGCUUUUAUUAGAUUUAAACCAAUGGGGAUUGCUUCGGCUUUCUCAAACCGAAUGGUUGAACUCUGGAUAAUUUGUUGAUCGCAUGGUCUUGUACCGGCGACGGAUCUUUCAAAUGUCUGCCCUAUCAACUAUUGAAGGUAGUGUCUUGGACUACCUUGGUUGCAACGGGUAACGGGGAAUCAGGGUUCGAUUCCGGAGAGGGAGCCUGAGAAACGGCUACCACAUCUAAGGAAGGCAGCAGGCGCGUAAAUUACCCACUCCCGGCACGGGGAGGUAGUGACGAAAAAUAACAAUACAAGACUCACAUCCGAGGCCUUGUAAUUGGAAUGAGUACACUUUAAAUCCUUUAACAAGGAUCAAUUGGAGGGCAAGUCUGGUGCCAGCAGCCGCGGUAAUUCCAGCUCCAAUAGCGUAUAUUAAAGUUGUUGCGGUUAAAACGUUCGUAGUUGAACUUGUGUUUCGCACGGGCAACACCUAGGACUAGGUAACUAGGACGGUUAGUUGUCUUAUCUUUCCUCUAUCCUUAUGGGAUUUUGGAAAAAGUGCGUGAACGUAUUAUCGGCGUGUUCAUUUUCCCAUGCUAUUAUGUAUGGCGGAGGUGUUCACAUAAGCCCAUUUCAGUGCUCUUCACCGAGUGUUGUUGUGGGCCGAUACAAAUUACUUUGAACAAAUUAGAGUGCUUAAAGCAGGCUUGUAAUGCCUGAAUAUUUGUGCAUGGAAUAAUGGAAUAGGACAUCUGUUCUACUUUCAUUGGUUUUUUAGACCAAGAUGUAAUGAUUAAUGGAAGCAGUUGGGGGCAUUAGUAUUACAACGCGAGAGGUGAAAUUCUUAGACCGUUGUAAGACUGACUAAAGCGAAAGCAUUUGCCAAAGAUGUUUUCAUUUAAUCAAGAACGAAAGUUAGAGGUUCGAAGGCGAUC